CGCGGGAGAAGGCAGCCGGGUGGCGAGCUGAGGUCAUCGAUGGAUGACGGAGGUGAGGCCAGGCUGCAGACUCUGCCAGAGGAACCUCAGCUGUGGCCUGAUCAAAAAUUCAUCAAGCUAAGUGGGAAGACACCCCCUGAGUCCAUUGAGCUACCAGGCACAAGGCCAAUUAAAACAGUUAGCACGGGCAAGUAAUGAGGCAAAAUAAUAAUGGAAAUAUUGACCACGCUGUGCUGUCGCCUAGGUCGGGCACAGCCCUCCCCUCAGAGCAUGGCUCUAUUUUCAGGCAGGAAGCUGAAAAAUUGCUUGAAAAAGCAUCAGCUGGCGAGAGGAAAUGCUGCUCUCCAAGCAACGUGCUGCUCGGCCUGUGGAAUGCAUCGACGCAGGAAUGCUUGAGGCCAGGAGCUUGGCAGGUAUUGAACGCACACCUAAAUAGACACCUGGCUGAAUAAGAGUAACUUUAAAAACCAGGAUAUAUUCUUCCUUUUCAGAGCUUAAAAAAAAAAUAAUAAAAUGACCGAAGAAUAGAUCUACCUGUGAGCAGAUUAUUACAGAGCUGUUGUUCUGGAAUUCAUCGCAUGCUCCCUCUGAAGCAUUUCAUCACCAUUAAGUAUGGGAGAGCGGAAUGAAGGAACCUGUGGUCUGCCACACUGCUUCUCCUUCUCCAUUUAAAUACAUGAAAGAGCUGGACCCAGAGAACCAAGGACUGUCAGCAGGAUUUUUAGGCACAAACACACAGAAGAACAAGGGAGAAAGAAAAUGAGAUCCAGAGAAGAGGCCCUUCGAACGACAAAGAGAAUCACCUCAACAUUCAGACUGCCUGCAAAACAACCGCAGCUCAUGUUCUAGAGAAAGCUGCCACAAAACACGAGCAGUGACCUUUAUUUUCAUAGUUCCUUCAGUCACGCUUGAAGUUUUUUAGUCUAAGAUUUGUACCAGAUUUAAAAAAUCCAAGGCUGUCUUUCAACACACUUACAGACUCCUGUGACUGGCAGCCAGGCUGUAACAGUAAUUCAUUAGGACCUGCCCAGGAAGUGCAAACUCAUCCAACAAUUACAGAACUUGGCAGUUUCCUCUUGAUCAAUUAGUAUGUCUUUAGUGCUUCUUACCCUUCAGUCGAGAGAGGCCUUUAUUAACUUUCUGUCAAGCCCCACUCAAACACAACAGCACAGCAAGAGGGUGAGGCAGAAGGCUCACACCCCAAAAUGAAAUGAGCUUGUUGUCUCCAAAGCACUUCUCUGCACCAGCACCCCAGCUCUGGAGCCAGUGUUUAAAGGACCAGCCUUUUGGGAGACUGAAAUGAUGACAAGUUUUCCUCCUCCCAUUUUUAAGCAGCAGGUAACGUCACUUCCAAAGCAGUGCAUCUGCCCACCGAGGCUGCAGCUGUGGGAUGUUUGGCUGUGCUUCUGUCCUCCAGCUUCAUUCAAUUACAGCCUCAGCAACCCAGCCCAACUUCCACCUCUGACUUUUUUAUGCUGUUAGUGACUGAAACACCUGUGAAAGGAAGCAGCCUGACAGGCCUGGAGCCUUAAAUAGUUUCCUGUGCCACGAGGCAGAGAGUGUGAGCAAGAUAAUGACAAGCUCCUCUGGCUGCAAACUUGGUGACACUGGAUGUGUAUUAUGGAGAGCAGAGUUCAGGGAUUGAGGAUGCUCAGCACAAUGGCCUGAUUUUCUGAUGGGCUGAGCAUUUGCCUGCAGAGUCUCCACUGAUCCACUUUGGGCACUUUCUUUUUCCUGCGAGUAACAUCUCGCAGGCGGCGGAUGAAAAGGAAGGUGUACUUGACACUGCAGUGAAAGAAACGCUGGGCUGCAGCAGCGCACGAAUUCAGAACAGAGGCUGGUCUGAAUAAGUCCAACGAGGAUCUGAAUCAUCUUUUGGGGGACCUCAACCAGUUUGCUAGCAGCGUGCCAAGAGAUUUCAUUGCACAGACUGAUGGAGAUUUAUUUGCAUACAGUGUCACACGUCGCAUCCUGACCAAGACAAGUAACAGGAGAGACAAACGCCCUCCCACUCUUUCAGAGUAAUAAUAGCAAUAUAACCUUUUCAGUACUGCCAUGUGCACCUUAGAGAAGACAUCUCUUAAAAGGACAGUGCAGAGAGAAGAACUCCUUGGGUAACAUACCUAAGAAAACCUGUACCCUCCCAUAAGCUUCCCAGGUCAGAGGCUGAGGAGUCCAAAAUGAGAGGAAGAGGAGCUGCUGAAGGAAGUGCAGCCACCACCCUCACAUCAUGCAGGCUGCACUGGACCAGGGAAGAGGGAGGAAGUGACAUUUUUUUUAUUUGCUUUAGGGAUUUGGGGCACAGAAAAGUGAUACUUUUUACUUUAACUGACAAGUGCUAGAUUAUAUUUAUGAAAAUAUGACAGCAUCCUGCUACGGUUGUACAGAGAUACUUUGGGUGAUCAUAGAACAAAGAAAGUUCUAUAAGUCAGAACAAAGAUGGUUAAAAGCAGUAUUUAAACACCACCUAAAAUGUUCCUAAACCUCCCUUAAUACACGCUGGGCAGGAACAUAGUCCCUAAAGGCUGCCAUUUUAAU
Molecule: long non-coding RNA, 2538 nt
Organism: Anas platyrhynchos (mallard)
Lineage: Eukaryota; Metazoa; Chordata; Aves; Anseriformes; Anatidae
Source: RefSeq, a predicted model, not a curated record